UUACUCAAAAGGACUGCGGAGACAAAAUAGAGGCAUCUGGAUAAGACUUUAUUGGUCAAUUGAUCACUUGACAGUUCAUAAUAUCCUUGCAAGCACAAUAGUCAACAACCACCUACAAUUUCAUCAUAGCGUAUUGUAGCAUCCAAAGCCCCAAAGGAAUGAAAACAUCAAUCACAUAAUGAAAUGUUGAACUAAUUUUUAGGCAAGGCAAAGUAGCUUCAACACUGCAGGGCGCAAAAAGAAGUUAAGCAAAUUUUCGUCAUCAUUCUUUUGCAGCAGCAGCUUCUGCAUCAGGAAAGUAAUCAUGCCUGGAAAAGUGGAAAACAAAAUUGUAAGUUUCUAAUGGAGAUAUCAACUUCAUAGGCAAUAGCACAUCUGAAAAACUAUUACAGGAAGGAAAAAAGUGUAGGAUGAUUUCUAAUAAAUUUAGAUGUAUUAAAACUAUAACCAUUUAGGCUUAAUACUUUUCAUUAGGAUUUAGGAGAUCUCAAGUUCAAAUCCUGCUAGGAUCAAAGUGGGGAGACUUGUAGAAAGAGGAUGAGAUAGCCCCCAAUUUUGCAUGGACCAAAGGAAGAAGAAUAAGAAGAAGAAGAAACAAAAGAAAAUUGGUUGAUUACUCCCUCUAGCCUCUGGGUAUAUAUACUGUUACACAUGAACCAAGAAUGUCAUGUUACACAUUUACAACACAUAUUUACGGACAUAAACAAAACACACAAAUCUCAACACUAAUUCACUCAAUCGCAACUCAAUCACAAUACUCAAAUCACUCAAUCACAACUAGCAUUCUAACAGCUCAUUCAGAUCACUAGAGUAAAAUUGUUAUAUUUUAUGUUUUUGGAAGUUUUAGGAUUAUUUGUUGUGAUAAUUUUGGGGAAGUAACAUUUGUAGGGACCCGAUUAAAAUAUUGUUUGCUUGUUUAACACCUUGAUAGUGGGAUCUGUUAUCGUGUUUGCCUAAUUGUGUGUCCUUGGGUAAUUGGAGAAGGAAACUUAAGACCAUAAUGUCUUGUGGGGGAGGUUAUGCCCAAAGACAUGGGAAUGAUCUAGGAAAAUUUUUUCCCUGAAGACUGAAGAGGCUAUCGACCUGGUGAUAAGUGUAGAAAAGAAUUGUGAAAUAGGUGGAUUAUCAUGAAAAAUAAGUUUCAUAUACUUAGAAAUUUAUGUUAAAUAUCCUUGUGACAUUUUUUCUAGGUUAUGGCCUAACUUUCGAAGACUUGUUUGCUAUGAAAACGGAAGGAUACUGUUGUGUACAACAAUAUACAAGGGGUGGGAGAUGAUGAGGAACAUUAUGCACUGAAUGUUUGUGAAGGAGUGCCAUCCUCUUUAUCAUAAUCAUUUGCUAAAUGUGAAUCCCUAGAUAGGGACAGAGGGUACUUCUAUGGAUUUCAAAUAAAUAGUGUCAGGAUCAGUUUUCAUUUGCAAAAAGCUUUUUCUUUUUAACUUCAUAUAAUUUCUAAUAACUUAGAUGUCAUUGUUUGAGAAAAAUGGAAUUGAGGAUUGAUCAAAUGAGUGGCUGGCUUUUGAUCCCACUUAAUUUAUGACAAAUUGGUUGUUUGUCAUAUAUGCCCCUGAGAGUGCUUGGGAUUAUUGCUUAUCGAAGAAGAAGAAGAAGAAGAAGA
RNAcentral lists this unclassified non-coding RNA (1618 nucleotides) under Hevea brasiliensis (rubber tree). The record is from RNAcentral. Lineage: Eukaryota; Viridiplantae; Streptophyta; Magnoliopsida; Malpighiales; Euphorbiaceae.